CCUACGGGAGGCAGCAGUGGGGAAUAUUGCACAAUGGGGGAAACCCUGAAGCAGCGACGCCGCGUGAGGGAAGAAGUAUUUCGGUACGUAAAGCUCUAUCAGCAGGGAAGAAAAUGACGGUACCUGACUAAGAAGCCCCGGCUAACGACGUGCCAGCAGCCGCGGUACUACGUCGGGGGCAAGCGUUAUCCUGAUUUACUGGGUGUAAAGGGAGCGUAGACGGCAGCGCAAGUCUGGAGUGAAAUCCCAUGGCUUAACAAUCGAACUGCUUUGGAAACUGUGCAGCUAGAGUGCAGGAGAGGUAAGCGGAAUUCCUAGUGUAGCGGUGAAAGGCGUAGAUAUUAGGAGGAACACCAGUGGCGAAGGCGGCUUACUGGACUGUAACUGACGUUGAGGCUCGAAAGCGUGGGGAGCAAACAGGAUUAGAUACCCCAGUAGUC
This 440-nucleotide ribosomal RNA is filed under the name uncultured bacterium. Its description in RNAcentral is "partial 16S ribosomal RNA". It matches the Rfam family "Bacterial small subunit ribosomal RNA", at positions 338 to 795 of the family's 1533-position model. The record is from RNAcentral.